UCGAUAUUUUGUCGAAAAUUUUUUCUUCUUUUUUUUUUUAAGGAGGUCGUACGAUAAGGAAGUAGCGAUAUAAACGAAAUGUUUCUUCGGAAAGUGGAAACACGUGGUGGAAAAGGAUUCGAGAAACGUGAGUAAAGAUGAAAGUGACCUAAUUGACGAUAUCUUAUUUGCUUAGUGAGAAACUGUACGCAGCAGUUGGCACGUAAUCGGAAAAAAAGAAGAAAGAAUAGGAGUAAGUACGUGUCGUUGGAUUUUGUCAAAUAAUAAUUUUUGUGAUAUUUGAGGAUGAACAAUAAUUUUAUAUAUUUUCUUAUUACACUAGAGUUAAUGAAUCACGUUAUAAUGGUGUGUGUUUUAUACUAUACUAGAGUUUGUGGAUUCGUAAUAAUUUUUCAUGCUUCGCAAACUUGUCGUCCUUUCGCUAUCGUUGCACAAUUCCCAUGGUGCAAGUGCAAUUAUUCAAAAUUGUAAACAGAAUCGCACAAGUAAGAAAGUAUGUCGAACGGAAGGAUUAUCAAGCAUGUGGAAGCACCGAACGAGAAAAUCGUUAGAAAAUAUUCUUAUAUAAACCGUUCGGAUAACAUACUUUUUGACACAGAAAACAAAGGGGUCGAUGACAUACGAAGGAAUCACAGGGCGAGCUGGAUGGAUUUAAUGAAACGAAAAAACAGUAGUGAAUAAGAAACCAUCUCUCUCCCUUUCUCUCUCCUCGUCUUUUUAAUAUUAGCAAAGAAUUUGCCGUUAAUAUUGUACAUUAAAUCAACAUAAAAAUAUUAAAAACGUAAAAUAUUAUUAUUGGAAGCGUAAACGUAUU
This is a long non-coding RNA of Polistes dominula (European paper wasp), 814 nucleotides long. NCBI's taxonomy places the organism in Eukaryota, Metazoa, Arthropoda, Insecta, Hymenoptera, Vespidae. The record is from RefSeq and is a predicted model, not a curated record.